This is a long non-coding RNA of Uranotaenia lowii, 436 nucleotides long. RefSeq lists it as uncharacterized. The record is from RefSeq and is a predicted model, not a curated record. The transcript has 3 exons. NCBI's taxonomy places the organism in Eukaryota, Metazoa, Arthropoda, Insecta, Diptera, Culicidae.
UUGCAGCAUCUGUUUAAGUAUUGUUUCAGUUGGAGCUAAAUUUUAAAAUCAUGAAAUUUGUUGGUGCCUUUGUGCUGUUUGUGGUCCUGGUGCUGGCUGUAGAUGAAGCCCAAUCAGCUGUUACUGUUAUGGCUAAAUCCUGUGCUGAAUGCAAAAGACAGGGAGCAACAAGUUGUGUGACGCUCUCAGGAGAAUAUAAAGGACUUUUUGAAUGCAAAAGAGUGACAAAAAUAACAGAUUGCUAUACAUGUGCCUCGAAUUCUGCUCCCUACGGUUCAAAAUGCAAAUCCGGCUAUCCAACCGAGUGUAUACUAAAUCAUUGAUAGACGCACUGCAUUCAAGGAUAUCAGAAGAAAAAUUGAAAAGUUUCGGUCCAUUAAAAAUGUAUGCGUUGUGAGUUGAUAAAAACUUAAAUUAAAUGCCAUUUUGAAACCCA